This 253-nucleotide ribosomal RNA is filed under the name uncultured bacterium. RNAcentral describes it as "partial 16S ribosomal RNA". It matches the Rfam family "Bacterial small subunit ribosomal RNA", at positions 524 to 776 of the family's 1533-position model. The record is from RNAcentral.
UACAGAGGUCUCAAGCGUUGUUCGGAUUCAUUGGGCGUAAAGGGUGCGUAGGCGGCGCGGUAAGUCGGGUGUGAAAUCUCGGAGCUUAACUCCGAAACUGCAUUCGAUACUGCCGUGCUUGAGGACUGGAGAGGAGACUGGAAUUUACGGUGUAGCGGUGAAAUGCGUAGAUAUCGGGAGGAACACCGGUGGCGAAGGCGGGUCUCUGGGCCGAUACUGACGCUGAGGAGCGAAAGCGUGGGGAGCGAACAGG